CCUACGGGGGGCUGCAGUGGGGAAUAUUGCACUAUGGGCGCAAGCCUGAUGCAGCCAUGCCGCGUGUGUGAAGAAGGCCUUCGGGUUGUAAAGCACUUUCAGCGGGGAGGAAGGCGGUGAGGUUAAUAACCUCAUCGAUUGACGUUACCCGCAGAAGAAGCACCGGCUAACUCCGUGCCAGCAGCCGCGGUAAUACGGAGGGUGCAAGCGUUAAUCGGAAUUACUGGGCGUAAAGCGCACGCAGGCGGUCUGUCAAGUCGGAUGUGAAAUCCCCGGGCUCAACCUGGGAACUGCAUUCGAAACUGGCAGGCUAGAGUCUUGUAGAGGGGGGUAGAAUUCCAGGUGUAGCGGUGAAAUGCGUAGAGAUCUGGAGGAAUACCGGUGGCGAAGGCGGCCCCCUGGACAAAGACUGACGCUCAGGUGCGAAAGCGUGGGGAGCAAACAGGAUUAGAUACCCGAGUAGUC
Molecule: ribosomal RNA, 465 nt
Filed under: uncultured Klebsiella sp.
Lineage: Bacteria; Pseudomonadati; Pseudomonadota; Gammaproteobacteria; Enterobacterales; Enterobacteriaceae
Description: bacterial SSU rRNA
Rfam family: Bacterial small subunit ribosomal RNA
Source: RNAcentral